UUUGAUCCUGGCUCAGAACGAACGCUGGCGGCAUGGAUUAGGCAUGCAAGUCGAACGAAAAGCUGAAGCUUGCUUCAGUAGACGAGUGGCGAAAGGGUGAGUAACGCGUGAACAAUCUGCCUCUAAGUUGGGAAUAGCCUCGGGAAACUGGGAUUAAUACCGAAUGUAGUCCUCUAUCGCAUGUUAGAGAGACUAAAGAUUUAUUGCUUAGAGAUGAGUUCGCGUUCCAUUAGCUAGUUGGUAGGGUAACGGCCUACCAAGGCGACGAUGGAUAGCUGGUCUGAGAGGAUGAUCAGCCACACUGGGACUGAGACACUGCCCAGACUCCUACGGGAGGCUGCAGUCGAGAAUCUUCCGCAAUGGGCGAAAGCCUGACGGAGCAAUGCCGCGUGCAGGAUGAAGGCCCUUGGGUUGUAAACUGCUGUCACCAGGGAAGAACACAAUGACGGUACCUGGAGAGGAAGCACCGGCUAACUACGUGCCAGCAGCCGCGGUAAUACGUAGGGUGCAAGCGUUGUUCGGAUUUAUUGGGCGUAAAGGGUCCGCAGGGGGUCUAUCAAGUCAGAUGUGAAAUCCCAUGGCUCAACCAUGGAACUGCAUUUGAAACUAUUAGACUAGAGUAUUGGAGAGGUAAAUGGAAUUUCUGGUGGAGCGGUGGAAUGCGUAGAUAUCAGAAAGAACACCGAGAGCGAAGGCAAUUUACUGGACAAUUACUGACCCUCAGGGACGAAAGCGUAGUAGCAAACAGGAUUAGAUACCCUGGUAGUCUACGCCGUAAACGUUGUAUACUAGAUGUGGGGGGAUUUAGUCCCCUCCGUGUCCAAGCUAACGCGAUAAGUAUACCGCCUGGGGACUACGGCCGCAAGGCUAAAACUCAAAUGAAUUGACGA
This 890-nucleotide ribosomal RNA is filed under the name uncultured bacterium. RNAcentral describes it as "bacterial SSU rRNA". It matches the Rfam family "Bacterial small subunit ribosomal RNA", at positions 12 to 916 of the family's 1533-position model. The record is from RNAcentral.